GAAUUUUAUAUAAAUUUAUUUAAAUACUUAAUAUAUAAAUUAAAUUAGUAUAAUCUCUGUAUUUUAUUUAGAAUAAAAACUUAUAUUUAAUUGGGAGGAUUAUUAAAUUAAAUAAACUUUAAAUUAAAAUUAUUACAUUAAUAAAUGAAGUAAAAAUUAUUAAAAGAAUGAUUAAUAAAUUAAUAAAGAAAUAAUUACCUUAGGGAUAACAGCGUAAUAUUUUUGGAUAGAUCAUAUAAAUAAAAAUGAUUGC
RNAcentral lists this ribosomal RNA (253 nucleotides) under Cyphomyrmex rimosus. Its description in RNAcentral is "partial large subunit ribosomal RNA". The record is from RNAcentral. Lineage: Eukaryota; Metazoa; Arthropoda; Insecta; Hymenoptera; Formicidae.